This 87-nucleotide transfer RNA is filed under the name Planctomycetota bacterium. RNAcentral's name for it is "tRNA-Leu". It matches the Rfam family "tRNA". Rfam says of the family: Transfer RNA (tRNA) molecules are approximately 80 nucleotides in length. Their secondary structure includes four short double-helical elements and three loops (D, anti-codon, and T loops). Further hydrogen bonds mediate the characteristic L-shaped molecular structure. tRNAs have two regions of fundamental functional importance: the anti-codon, which is responsible for specific mRNA codon recognition, and the 3' end, to which the tRNAs corresponding amino acid is attached (by aminoacyl-tRNA synthetases). tRNAs cope with the degeneracy of the genetic code in two manners: having more than one tRNA (with a specific anti-codon) for a particular amino acid; and 'wobble' base-pairing, i.e. permitting non-standard base-pairing at the 3rd anti-codon position. The record is from RNAcentral. Lineage: Bacteria; Pseudomonadati; Planctomycetota.
GCCGAAGUGGCGGAAUUGGCAGACGCGCUAGGCUCAGGACCUAGUGGACCUAACACGUCCUUCCGGGUUCGAGUCCCGGCUUCGGCA